Molecule: long non-coding RNA, 2858 nt
Filed under: Homo sapiens (human)
Lineage: Eukaryota; Metazoa; Chordata; Mammalia; Primates; Hominidae
Description: non-protein coding lnc-ARHGAP18-1:4
Source: RNAcentral
UUAACAUAAAUAACUAAUAGGGGAUUUCAGUAAUGAGGAAUCGGCUAAUAGAGGCAUGGAGAAUGCAAACAAGUAAAGAACAGUAGACAUAGGGAGAGCCACAACCCUGGGGCUGGGAUAGAGCACCCAAGAAAAAGGCCACUCCUCCAGGGGCUGAGAUACCAACUGUGGAGGGGCAUGGAGCAGUUCACUGUGGCACCGCUCUGGUGGGACUUGCUGGAAAUCCUCCCCCUGGAGUUCGAGGGAAGCUGUCCUCAUGAAGGUGCUGUGCCUCAGAACUCUACAGACUGUGGGAAGCUGGGGAAACUGUUUUGGGGGAGAAACCAUGCUCACUAAUACUCUAUUAUGAAGCUUCCUCAGGGAAGUGUGCAGAGAACUGGAGUGGACCUUCCCCUAGGAAGCUGCCCAAAACGAGAGUGCUGGAAAGCUGGCCGCAGUGAGGCACUUCAGAUCCCAAGGGUAUGCUGGGGAAGCUGCCACAGGUGGGAGCACUUGCUGCUGGACCCUAGGCACUGUUGAAACAACUGCACCAUCUGCAGGAGCCCAGCAAGGUGAGUACAGCAGAGCAAGAGAAAAUACUCUUUCCUCCAGUGCUCCUCCACUCACAGAGCUGAACAUUGGGCCAGCUGGUGAUGGGAAGGUAUUUACAGAAUUCAGCUCCAUGGAAAGAAAGGAGGAUUUGGAGCUGAGAGGCAAUAAAUCAAUAACACAUGCUGUUAUUGAUACAAGAAAAUAUGAAGAUCUCUUUUUUUCCUGCAUACAGUUGGUUGGGGAUAGUUAUAUUCUGCAAAUAAGAACUGAGUAAAGACUUCUGCAAAACUUUUAGAAAAUCUUUCUUCACUUAUAGGAAGGAGACAGUGGUCAAGAUGGCCACUUCUGUCUAAAAAUGUAUUGAUACGUGAAAGUGUCGCAGCUGUUGUGCCUGAGGAUAGACCCCUACUGAACAGGGCAGAGUUAAGAGAACCACAGAACAGUGGACUCAGAGCCCUAAAGUCCAGCACUUGGAUCCUGCACUGCUAUGUACCUCUUAGUUAUGUUAAAUGACAUAUUUUCAUAAGAUUUAAAGCACAUUAAGCCUGGACUUUCUGUAGCCCAAAGCAUCCUAGUUGUUACUCUCCUCUCACCUCCCUAGUUUUCGUUAGUCUUAUAAAUAACAUCUUCAUCAUCUACAUGAUCAUUCGAGUCCCGAAUCUAAAAGUUGUCCUUGAAAUCUCCUUCCUUGCCUAUUCCUCAGAUACCUCCCCUGCACCCAAUCCAUCUUAGGUCUAGCUCCGUCUUCAAAAUAUUCUUUAAUGUAUCCUCUUCUCUAUAUUUCUGCAAACACACUGUAGUCCAGGUUCAGGAGAAAUGACUGUGGAUCCAACCAUCACAUCCCACUUGGAUGUGUUUAUUUAUAAAGUGCUUGCAGAUCAUGAGAAGGAGGUCACUGGGGUUACCAUUCACUCCUGAGAGAAGUUUUUGUUUAAUGUUUGUCUUAUUGUCUUGAGGAAAAGCAGCUUUAUUAAUCUUUCAGAAAUACAUUAGAUUGAAUCAAUUAUAGACUUUCUAUUAAGAAAAUUAGAUAUUUUUUUCAUAUUUGCACUACGUGUACUGCAAUAGACACACAAACCAAACAUUCUGAGUAAACACUAGGCCUUUAAAUUUAUAUCGAUCUAUCAGGCAGAUGGGGUUGUUUAGAAGCCGGGGGGAGAAAGAAGAAAGAUUAACUGUUGUAAUCAGAGAUUGUCUAUUUCCAUGCAGCCAAAGCCAGGCAUCCCAUCUGGAGAGAGAGAAGACUGAAGCAGAAACACAAUGGGAAGGAAGCAAAGAUGGAGGUAGAAUAGCUGCCACGAGCCCUGAUAGUUUCAGGCCUUGACUGCAUGUCCUUAGGAUCUCAGGCUUCUCUGUUUUUCCUUUGGGUUCCAUGAAAAACCCCGAUAUUUUGGUAAUAAACACCCUUGGGUUGCUUUGCCUGGCUUGAAGAUUUUGCUUACAAACUAAAGAACUGUGGACAAGAUACACUUCUUGUCUCAAGAGGGCCUGUAUAUUUUAGGAUUUAACUGCGUGUACAUGGAAAGUGUUACCACAUUUUUUCUGUUCUUUUCAGAGAUGAGUUUUUGGAUUCAACUGAAGCCCUUGCUAUCUGCUAGAGUCAGAGUCAUCACAAUUGGGGGGUCUUCAUUAAGCUACACUUUUUAAUGGAACAUCCUAGUGAGGUUUGAGAGUACAGCUUUAUGGUCUAUAUUACAUUACUAAGCCGAUUUUAUUGGGUUAGUCUAUACGUUUUACAAAGUUAAAACUUGUAUAAGAAUUUGAGAAGCUACACACACACACAUACACACACAUGCACACACACACACUCUCACACAUUUCAUAAAAGAAUAUUAGGAUAAGAUUUCUCGAUACAAAACUGUUACCUUUGGGGUUAUCUCUCCGCCAGAAAGAACUUGUUUGCAUCCCUGCUAGACAAAAACCUACAAGUUAACCUUUGCCCGUAUGGAGUUGUAAAACAGACCAGUUGAUAGAAAGAGAAGCCUGGUAAGUACUGCACUGAAAGAAUAUCCAGACAUUUAUUUUGCCUAUUUCUAAGUUCUGAAUAAUGUUUCUUAUACCCAUACUCUUAAUACUCUUAAUGUGGUAGUGUAUCCAUAGUCCUCCCUCUACACUCACUCCCUUAGUGAUCUCGCUCAGUCUUGUGGUUAUAAAUAACAUCAAUAUUCUCAUAAUUCCCAUGUUUAUAUCUGUAGUUUGGAUCUUUUUCUUGAAGACCCUUAUGUUCAACUGCCUGUGGCAUGAUGCACUUAGAUACCUACUGGGGAGUUUAAAUUAAACAUGUCUAAAACUAAAUUCUGUGUUAUGUUUUCCAUAAAAAGCCUACU